CUGAGAAUAAUACCGGAUAGAUCACAACGCCUGGAACGGUGUGUGGUUGAAAGGUUACGGCAUAGGAUGGGUCUGCGGCGUAUCAGGUCGUAGGGGGUGUAAUGGACCUCCUAGCCAUCGACGCGUACGGGUUGUGAGAGCAAUAGCCCGGAGAUGGAUUCUGAGACACGAAUCCAGACCCCACGGGGUGCAGCAGGCGCGAAAACUUCACACUGCAGGAAACUGCGAUGAGGGAACUCCAAGUGACUACACAUUUGUGUAGCUCUUUUCUUGACUAUUAAUCGGUUUUGGAAUAAGGGCUGGGAAAGACCGGUGCAGCCGCCGCGGUAAUACCGGCAGCUCGAGUGGUCGUCGCUUUUAUUGGGCCUAAAACGUCCGUAGCCUGUUUGGUAAAUCUGUGGGUAAAUCAACCAGCUUAACUGGUUGAAUUCUGCAGAGACUGCCAGACUAGGGACCGGGAGAGGUGUGGGGUACUCUAGGGGUAGGGGUAAAAUCCUGUCAUCCUCAGAGGACCACCAGUUGCGAAGGCGCCACACUAGAACGGAUCCGACGGUCAGGGGCGAAGCCUAGGGGCACGAACCGGAUUAGAUACCCGGGUAGUCCUAGGUGUAAACGCUGUGAACUUGGUGUCGGGAGUCCGCAAUGGGCCCCCGGUGCCGGAGUGAAGAUGUUAGGUUCACUGCCUGGGGAGUACGGUCGCAAGGCUGAAACUUA
This 714-nucleotide ribosomal RNA is filed under the name uncultured archaeon. Its description in RNAcentral is "bacterial SSU rRNA". It matches the Rfam family "Archaeal small subunit ribosomal RNA", at positions 140 to 858 of the family's 1478-position model. The record is from RNAcentral.